GAUUUCUGGCUUGAAACAUUUUGCCGGCCACGGUUUCGUGUGUUAGUGCUUGAUGUUCUGGCCAUCCUUCCAAUCGCCAUUGGCUUGUCUUCAUUGAUUGGUCAGUGGUAUUGGAUCUUUUACUUUGAAAAAAUUAGAGUGUUUCAAGCAGGCUUUAUGCUAUGAAUACAUUAGCAUGGAAUAAUAAUUUAGGACUUCGGUUCUAUUUUGUUGGUUUCUAGGACUGAAGUAAUGAUUGAUAGGGAUAGUUGGGGGUGCUAGUAUUCAGCGGCCAGAGGUGAAAUUCUCGGAUUCGCUGAAGACUAACUUAUGCGAAAGCAUU
RNAcentral lists this ribosomal RNA (322 nucleotides) under uncultured Allapsidae. Its description in RNAcentral is "SSU rRNA". The stretch from base 62 to 322 matches the Rfam family "Eukaryotic small subunit ribosomal RNA", at positions 694 to 955 of the family's 1831-position model. The record is from RNAcentral. Lineage: Eukaryota; Cercozoa; Glissomonadida; Viridiraptoridae.